CUCCACUCUCCCAAAAUGUUGUAUUGAACGAAAGUUCUGAUUGAUGAAGAACCAAUGAGAGUGUGUUGUGUUCAAACUAUGCAAUUCCUCUUUCUUUAAUUUCAGAUAAUAUCGAGUCUCAUGUUGAAAGUGCUGGUUCACAUGUCGAGGACGCCAAUGUACAACUGGCGAAAGCAAGCGAAUAUCAAGUAAGCGAUAUCGUUAAUAAGGGAGCGAUCAUUAUUUAUGACUAGGGGGAGGUCAUUAUUUAUGACGGGGGGAAAGGGUAGGGUAAACAAAAUUUCAAGGGUGAGUUGACUACAAAAUUUUUGUAGUUCGCUAUAACUACAGCUACUUCAAAAAUAUGUAGUCCGCUACAACUACUGCUACUUUUGAACAAAGGUAGUUCGCUACUGACUACAGCUACUGCUUAAAAAAUGUAGCGAACUAUUUCGCUAUUUCGCUACGCUAUAUUUCUUAGUUCUACUGUAUUUGGAGCGUCUACUAACUCAGGCUGAAAUGUAACCUAUAACAAAUCGACUUACGAGUGGCAACAGUAAACACAAAGCAACAUUUUUGUAAGCACUACAGUGUUCAAGAACGCAAAUUGACUAUUGAGUAUUGAUUUUAAGCAAACCGUGUCUCAAUAUCAUGCUAUUCUAUCAAGUUGCUAACAAUUUUAAAAAGUAGCGAAUAGCGAUUUGCUGUUUGAAAAGUAGUCAACUCUUGGCUACUUUUAGGCAAAAUGUAGUUCGCUAUAACUACAGCUACUGUUUUAAUAAAGUAGUCAAAAACUACUGGCUACUUGAAAAUUGUAGUUCGCUACAGUAGCGAACUACAACUACUUCGCUACAACCCACCCUUGCAAAAUUUUGAGUGAGUAUAGGUUGGGUAAAUGAAAAACAAAACAACUCAAGGGUUGUGUAAUAAAAAUUUAUUGUCAUUUCCAAAACAUGACUCACUCAAAUAUUGAAGACAUUUGUCAAUACAAUAUGCAAAUCACUAUCUGGAUUAUUUACCGAUUUGUCAGGAGGCAAAUGGUGUCUCCAAAGAAAGUACAUGUGCGAUGUAAAACUUCAUGGCAGCUAGUUUUCGGAAAAAUCUCGUCACAAGACAAUCUCGACUUGCGAAAUGCUUUUGUAAACAAUAAGUAUAUGGCAUUCCAGUAUAUAAGAUGGUAAACAUUUCCUGCAAGGUGUGAGAAAAUUUCCGCGAAGAUAUUUUGUCAAAAAUUUCUUGACAGCGGUGCUGCUGGCGCUGUGGGAUAUUCUCCAGCAUUGUCUGCUGGUAAAGCGACUUGAGACAUCAUGUAAAAUACUCCCUUUGUUUUCUUUUGAAGAAAGCUUCACGGAAGAAAAUGUGUUGCCUCCUAGUCAUUCUACUCGUCGUGGGUGGCGUGGUGGGGAUAAUUAUAUGGCAGACGACGAAAUAGUAAACCGCUUUCCUCUCCAAAGUGUGGUAUUUUUUUCCUUUUUGACGAGAGAAAGCCCAAAGGUUUUUUGUAUAUACACACCAAUACUUUCCAAUGGUUCACAUUGUGAAUAGAAACUGAACUAGAAAUUUAAAAUUGCAGAUUACAUAGAUUCGAAACUGGGCUGAAUUAUGGUCAGCUGAGAAUGAUGUGGCCCUUUAGUAUACCUUCUACGUAUACUAUUAUCGGACGUCUCUGGUAAAUUUACGGUCAAACACUCUUGGGUAGACCUGAGAAAAAUAUUUUGGAAGGAAAAAGAGGGGACAAAAUAUGUCGAUUAUAUUUACGAAUGUCAAAUAAGUACACACAUUAAUACAAAUAAGUACACACAACUUUGACGAGUAUGUAGCUUGGCUGGUCUUUUUGCUUUCCAAGUUACAUUGCAGCCAUGUUGGAUAAAUUUGACGAAGGAAUUUCCUUCUUCGCAAUUCAAAUUUCAUCCAACAUGUCUGCUCUUUGAAUCCUUUGUAAUUGGCGCAGGCCUAUAUAAUAUUGGACCCCUUAAUCUAUAUUAUUAGAUACACUGUAUUGUAUAAUUUUACAGAUAAUUCUAGGGUUAAUGAAGCUCAUAUAUAGCUUUUAAAUUAAUUGUUCAAAUGUAAUGAAUGAAGUAAUUAGAAUAAUAAUGUAAAUUGUCACCAAGUGUUCGUUCCUAACUUUUCAUGUUCAAUAUGAUGUUGCACGUAUAUUGAAUUUCUGUUGUCGAAGCUCCAAAUGGCUUACUACGCCACUCGUCAGUUGGGUAAGUGAAUGAAUGGUCCUAUUACCUAAUGAAUAAAAUUUUGAUCUGGACAAGUCUAGACAAAAAUUUUAUCACGACUUGAAAGAGCAUCACAAAAUUAGUAAUAUUCCGAAGUUUCGUUGCGAAAUGUUGUAAAAUGGGAGUAUGCGGAUAAUAUAGCCCUGCGAAGUUUGCCG
Paramuricea clavata is the source of this 2368-nucleotide non-coding RNA. The record is from the annotation of a GenBank genome assembly. Lineage: Eukaryota; Metazoa; Cnidaria; Anthozoa; Malacalcyonacea; Plexauridae.